This is an RNA transcript of Cydia pomonella (codling moth), 1987 nucleotides long. RefSeq lists it as uncharacterized. The record is from RefSeq and is a predicted model, not a curated record. The transcript is spliced from 2 exons. NCBI's taxonomy places the organism in Eukaryota, Metazoa, Arthropoda, Insecta, Lepidoptera, Tortricidae.
AAAUAGAUCAGAUUAUUAAAUUUUCUCCUCCUUCUCCAUUUAGUCGAUCCAUAUCAGUCGCAUUAGAAAUAAUAAAAAUCUUUACUUUUUUGCAGUAACAAUGGUACAAAAUAAAUUAGGAAAGCAACUAGCUGUGUACCAAGGUUACACAUUUUCUGCAUGCACAUCAACAAGAGUGGUACCAAGAAGAUUUGAACUUGCACCAACAAUGGCCAAGGCUGCCGUGCACGCUUUCAUCUGCUUCAAGACUCAUAUAUGAUCAAAUGUCAACCGAUACAUUCACACCAAGCACCAAAGUUUGUUAUUCGUAAUGUACAAAUAAUCCGCACCCACUUGGGAAAGGAGCAGGUUUUAUACGACGGCUACACAUAUUACUGCAACGUGACCAGCGCUAACGGUUGGAAGAAGUACUGGAGAUGCACCCGCGGCGGGGGCUCCGGGUGCUGCGCUGCUAGACUGCACCUGUCGCAAGAUUACAAAGUCAUGAAAAUCAUUAAUGAGCAUCGCCAUCCACCACCACGAUUUAUCAUUAGAAAUGGAGUUUACACUAAAAUAGGAUAAAAUUGCAUCCCACCUGUCGAUAUGGAGUUAUAUUUCGUCACUUCAUUUAUCAGAUAUAAUUUUAUAUUCCUUAAGUAUUUUUUAAUGAUCGUAUUUUUAAUUUUAUUUGUGUAAGACAAAUUGUAAUCAUUAAUUAUAGACAACUAAAAUGAAUAACAAGGUAUUGUCUUUUAAAUUUUGUGUUAAUAUAUUUUACAUAUAUUAACCAUAUAGUUUCCCUAUUGUACAGGUAGCAUCGUACACACUUAAGAGUAACUAUUUUAAAUAUAUUACAACGGGUCACUCACGUAUUUUAAGUCGGAAACGCUAACUAAUAACUUAUAUUAUAUUAUAAUAUUAUUAACUAGUAACUAUUUUGAUUAAAACUGUCAAGGCAACUUCCGCCCACUUCCGGUUGUGGUUUACGCCGGUGCGGCGGCCGCUCUGCUAUUCGUUCUUUUUUUCAGAUAGAUUAUGUAAUAUGCUCUGUGGUUUACUUAUUUACCUCUUGGUCGAGGUACGAGUAUUUUGAUUUUUAAAUGUUUGGGUAGCUGGGUUUAUUCUCUCAAACGUUGUACUUAAACUAUAACAGUAAACAACAUCGUAAUUUUCUUUGCAGUAAGAAUAAUACACAACCGCGCAGGAAAGCAGCUAGCAUUGUACCAAGGUUACACAUAUUACUGUAUGCGCACAAAUAAGAGCGGCAAGAUGGUGUGGUUGUGCACGAACUAUGGUCCGUGUUGCGCCAGUCUCCAUCUAUCUCCAGAUUAUCAAGUGAUCAAAUCUCAAUCAGAGCAUUGUCACACGCCGCCUGUGUUUGUUAUACGUGAUGGAGUGUAUAUAAAGGUUUCAUAGAAAACUUUCGAUAUGGAGUUAUUUCGUCGAUAUUUCGUCACUUAAUUUUUCAGAUAUAAUUUUAUAUUUCUUAAGUAUUUUUUAAUGAUUGUAUUUUUUAUUUUAUUUGUGUAAGACAAAUUGUAAUCAUUAUAUAUUAUUUUAAUAUUAUUAAUUAGUAACUAUUUUGAUUAAAACUGGUAAGGCAACUUCGGUCCACUUCCGUUUGUGGCUUAUGCCGGUGCGGCGGCCUCUCCGCUCUAUUUGUGCGUGGACGCGUCCACACUUUUUAAAUUGGCAAUGCUAAAGGUAUUUGUAAGAAGUCAAUAGUUUUAUACUUAAUUCUACAUAUAUUAAUACCCAGACUCUCCAGUAAUGAGUCUUACGCCGUACGGGUGCCAUUUGAAUAUUAUCCGAAAUUGUAUUUGGCGUUUUUUAUGUAUCACUAUUGGUCACUCCUCUGCCUCCUCUUACUUAUUUACAUCUGUGUAGCCUUGUCGUCAUUUAAGAUAUCUGAAUCACUUCACUGCUUUUCUGGCAAACACAGUUUUUAUUAUAAAAUUAUUGUUGUGUGUAAUACUUUUAUGAAAUAAAGUCACUUUUCGAUAAUAUA